Molecule: transfer RNA, 90 nt
Filed under: Paraburkholderia phenoliruptrix
Lineage: Bacteria; Pseudomonadati; Pseudomonadota; Betaproteobacteria; Burkholderiales; Burkholderiaceae
Description: tRNA-Ser
Source: RNAcentral
CUCGGUAUGAGUGGCGGCCGAAGCCGCCGGUGCUGCUUGCGCCGGGGACGAAGGCUCAGCGUCGGGCGUUCCAGGUUCGCCUUGCUGAGC